UCACCUCCAACAUAUAGGAGAUAUUUUUAUCUCACUUUUUCCAAUCAACCAAACAUAAAAAAUAAAAACAGAAAAACAAAUUUUCUUUUCCUUUUCAUACAUUCCAAACAAUAAUAGCUGAAAAAUAACUUUUACUUUUCUUCUAACCAAACGUCACAAAUCAUAAAAUUAGUUUUCAGAAAAGUCUUUUUUUAAAAAAAUAAUUUUAAUUCAUAAUUUCACGUAGAACCAAACACAUUA
Molecule: long non-coding RNA, 240 nt
Filed under: Ananas comosus (pineapple)
Lineage: Eukaryota; Viridiplantae; Streptophyta; Magnoliopsida; Poales; Bromeliaceae
Description: long non-coding RNA (ACOM_LNC032582)
Source: RNAcentral